Molecule: transfer RNA, 77 nt
Filed under: Clostridiales bacterium
Lineage: Bacteria; Bacillati; Bacillota; Clostridia; Eubacteriales
Description: tRNA-Arg
Rfam family: tRNA
About the family: Transfer RNA (tRNA) molecules are approximately 80 nucleotides in length. Their secondary structure includes four short double-helical elements and three loops (D, anti-codon, and T loops).
Source: RNAcentral
GCACCCGUAGCUCACUUGGAUAGAGCACUCGGCUACGGACCGAGAGGUUUGGGGUUCGAGCCCCUACGGGUGCGCCA